This 74-nucleotide transfer RNA is filed under the name Pyrinomonadaceae bacterium. Its description in RNAcentral is "tRNA-Ala". It matches the Rfam family "tRNA". Rfam says of the family: Transfer RNA (tRNA) molecules are approximately 80 nucleotides in length. Their secondary structure includes four short double-helical elements and three loops (D, anti-codon, and T loops). Lineage: Bacteria; Pseudomonadati; Acidobacteriota; Blastocatellia; Blastocatellales; Pyrinomonadaceae. The record is from RNAcentral.
GCCCCUGUAGCUCAGUGGAUAGAGCGUCGAGUUUCGCAAACUGAAGGUCGUGGGUUCGAGUCCCACCAGGGGCG